CGUAGGUGAACUGCGGAAGGAUCAUUAACGAGUUUUGAAGUGGGAUUGAUGCUGGCCUUCCGAGGCAUGUGCUCGUCCUCGCUCAUCCACUCACAACACCUGUGCACUGUUGAGGUGUGGCCCCCCUUCAAUGGAGCCGUUCCCCCUUCUCUCGAAGGGGUCGAGCCGGGGUCAGGCCUUCUUCGUCACAAACAACUCGUAAUGUAUAUUCGGAAUGUAACGCUUCAUGUUAAUGAAACAAUACAACUUUCAACAACGGAUCUCUUGGCUCUCGCAUCGAUGAAGAACGCAGCGAAAUGCGAUAAGUAAUGUGAAUUGCAGAAUUCAGUGAAUCAUCGAAUCUUUGAACGCACCUUGCGCUCCUUGGUAUUCCGAGGAGCAUGCCUGUUUGAGUGCCAUGAAAUUCUCAACCCUCCUCACUUUUGUGGGAAGGGCUUGGACUUGGGGGUUUGUUAUUGCUGGUCUUCUGAUCGGCUCCCCUUGAAUGCAUUAGCCCGGGACCCUUUGCCUCCCAGCCAGUUUCACGGUGUGAUAGUCUAUCAACGCCGGUGUCCUGGUGUUCAGGUGUGGCAAGACAGCGGUCCGGCUCUCUAACGGACUUUGAAAGUCAACUUUACCCAAUCUGACCUCAAAUCAGGUAGGACUACCCGCUGAACUUAAGCAUAUCAAUAAGCGGAGGAAAAGAAACUAACAAGGAUUCCCCUAGUAACGGCGAGUGAAGCGGGAUGAGCUCAAAUUUAAAAUCUGGCGGUUUAGGCCGUCCGAGUUGUAAUCUGGAGAAGCGUUUUCUGCGCUGGACCGUGUAAGUCUCCUGAAUCCCGCGG
Molecule: ribosomal RNA, 824 nt
Filed under: uncultured fungus
Lineage: Eukaryota; Fungi
Description: eukaryotic LSU rRNA
Rfam family: 5.8S ribosomal RNA (bases 245-398)
Source: RNAcentral